AUGAGAGCUCUAUUCUGGAAUAUUCGUGGUUUCGGUGCUAGGGGGCGCCGUGACCAGAUUCAUGACUUGGUUUGUGGUGAACAUAUUGACAUUUUAGGGCUGGUCGAAACGUUCAAGGAAUCAUUUUGCCCUUCUGAACUCUCUGCGAUAGCUGGGAUGGAUAGGUUUGAUUGGCACCUUCUCCCCGCCUCGGGCCACUCUGGGGGAAUCUUGAUUGGGUCCAAGCGGGACGUUUUUGAUUUCAUUACUUUUGAUCAUGGCAUCUUUUGGGCUAGCUGUGUGGUUCAUCAUCGUCAGCUCAACACUUUGUGAGAAUUUAUGGUGGUUUAUGGCCCUGCGGAUCACACGCUUGCUCCUCUCUUUUUGGACGAACUAUCGACUAAGAUUGAAACAUGUUCUAUUCCUCUUCUAAUUGGGGGUGAUUUCAAUUUGUUA
RNAcentral lists this ribosomal RNA (435 nucleotides) under Triticum aestivum (bread wheat). RNAcentral describes it as "partial small subunit ribosomal RNA". Lineage: Eukaryota; Viridiplantae; Streptophyta; Magnoliopsida; Poales; Poaceae. The record is from RNAcentral.